Molecule: ribosomal RNA, 396 nt
Filed under: uncultured bacterium
Lineage: Bacteria
Description: partial 16S ribosomal RNA
Rfam family: Bacterial small subunit ribosomal RNA
Source: RNAcentral
GAUAUUGCACAAUGGAGGAAACUCUGAUGCAGCGAUGCCGCGUGGAGGAAGAAGGUCUUCGGAUUGUAAACUCCUGUUAUCGGGGACGAAGAUGACGGUACCCGACGAGGAAGCUCCGGCUAACUACGUGCCAGCAGCCGCGGUAAUACGUAGGGAGCGAGCGUUGUCCGGAAUUACUGGGUGUAAAGGGAGUGUAGGCGGGGUAGCAAGUCAGGUGUGAAAACUAUGGGCUCAACCCAUAGACUGCACUUGAAACUGUUAUUCUUGAGUGAAGUAGAGGUAAGCGGAAUUCCUAGUGUAGCGGUGAAAUGCGUAGAUAUUAGGAAGAACACCAGUGGCGAAGGCGGCUCACUGGCUCGGUACUGACGCUGAGGUGCGAGAGCGUGGGGAGCAAAC